UCAAGCUACAAAGAGCGUAAGGGGAAUGCCUUGGCACCAGGAGCCGACGAAGGACGCAGCGAUCUGCGAAAAGCCACGGGGAGCCGAAAGCAGGCUUUGAUCCGUGGAUAUCCGAAUGGGGAAACCCGCAUGGUUAAUAGCCAUGCGACGUAUACUGAAUAAAUAGGUAUGCGUCGGGAACCGUCUGAACUGAAACAUCUAAGUAGGACGAGGAAAAGAAAUCAACCGAGAUUCCGUAAGUAGUGGCGAGCGAACACGGAAGAGGCCAAACCGAAGGUAGCAAUAUCUUCGGGGUACGGACAGUAAACGGCAUUGCGGUAUCUUAGCAGAAGUGCAUGGGACGGCACACCAUAGAGAGUGAUAGUCUCGUAAGCGAAAAGAGAAGGCAGCCAACUGUAUCCAGAGUACCGCCGGACACGUGAAACCCGGUGGGAACAUGGGGGGACCAUCCUCCAAGCCUAAAUACUCCCUGGUGACCGAUAGAGAACAGUACUGUGAAGGAAAGGUGAAAAGAACCCCGGGAGGGGAGUGAAAAGAACCUGAAACCUUAUGCUUACAAGCACCGAGAGCCCAUCAAAGGGUGAUCGGGUACCUUUUGUAGAAUGGUCCGGCGAGUGAAUGUAACUGGCAAGGUUAAGCACUUCAGGUGUGGAGCCGAAGCGAAAGCAAGUCUUAAUAGGGCGUCAAGUCAGUUGUAUUCGACCCGAAACCGUGUGACCUAGCCAUGAGCAGGCUGAAGUGGAGGUAAAACUCCAUGGAGGGCCGAACCCACUCCCGUUGAAAUGGUAGGGGAUGACUUGUGGCUAGCGGAGAAAUUCCAAUCGAACUCGGAGAUAGCUGGUUCUCUCCGAAAUAGCUUUAGGGCUAGCCUCGAUUUGACAUUACCGGAGGUAAAGCACUGAAUGGGCUAGGGGCCGAGAGGUUACUGAACCCUAUCAAACUAAGAAUGCCGGAUAAUGAUAAUCGGGAGUCAGACAGUGUGAGAUAAGUUUCAUUGUCAAAAGGGAAACAGCCCAGACCCACAGCUAAGGUCCCAAAGUACAGUUAAGUGGUGAAGGAUGUGGAAUUGCAUAGACAACCAGGAUGUUGGCUUAGAAGCAGCCACUCAUUAAAAGAGUGCGUAAUAGCUCACUGGUCGAGUGAUUCUGCGCCGAAAAUUUAACGGGGCUAAAUUGUACACCGAAGCUUGGGAUACAUCUAAUGUAUGGUAGGAGAGCGUUGUAUACGGGGUGAAGUCAGAGCGGAAGCGCUGGUGGACUGUAUACAAGUGAGAAUGCCGGAAUGAGUAGCGAGAAUUAUGUGAGAAUCAUAAUGGCCGAAAGACUAAGGUUUUAGAAGGAAGGUUCGUCCGCUUCUAGUCAGCCGGGAGCUAAGGCGAGGCCGAAAGGCGUAGUCGAUGCACAUACGGUGGAGAUUCCGUAGCCGCCAUUAAUUUAAACAGAGGGACACUUUCAAGGGGCAUGACCCGGGCGUUGGUAGACCCGGGCGUAAGGGACCGAAGAUUAGUAGGGAAGCAUGCUUUAAGGAAGGCGAGAAAAGCUCUGUGUAUAGAAGAUGGCGCCCGUACCGCAAACCGACACAGGUAGUCAGGAAGAGAAUUCUAAGGCCAACGGGAGAAGGGUAGUUAAGGAACUCGGCAAAUUGACCCCGUAACUUCGGAAUAAGGGGUGCUCACGAGAGUGAGCCGCAGUGAAUAGGUCCAGGCGACUGUUUAUCAAAAACACAGCUCUCUGCUAAAUCGAAAGAUGACGUAUAGGGGGUGACACCUGCCCGGUGCUGGAAGGUUAAGAGGAAGGGUGCAAGCUCUGAAUUGAAGCCCCAGUAAACGGCGGCCGUAACUAUAACGGUCCUAAGGUAGCGAAAUUCCUUGUCGGGUAAGUUCC
This 1883-nucleotide ribosomal RNA is filed under the name human gut metagenome. RNAcentral's name for it is "bacterial LSU rRNA". It matches the Rfam family "Bacterial large subunit ribosomal RNA", at positions 3 to 1984 of the family's 2925-position model. The record is from RNAcentral.